This 301-nucleotide ribosomal RNA is filed under the name uncultured bacterium. Its description in RNAcentral is "partial 16S ribosomal RNA". It matches the Rfam family "Bacterial small subunit ribosomal RNA", at positions 509 to 807 of the family's 1533-position model. The record is from RNAcentral.
CAGUAGCCGCGGGAAUACGUAGGUGGCAAGCGUUGUCCGGAAUCAUUGGGCGUAAAGCGCGCGCAGGUGGUUCCUUAAGUCUGAUGUGAAAGCCCACGGCUCAACCGUGGAGGGUCAUUGGAAACUGGGGGACUUGAGUGCAGAAGAGGGAAGUGGAAUUCCAAGUGUAGCGGUGAAAUGCGUAGAUAUUUGGAGGAACACCAGUGGCGAAGGCGACUUUCUGGUCUGUAACUGACACUGAGGCGCGAAAGCGUGGGGAGCAAACAGGAUUAGAUACCCCGGUAGUCCCUGUCUCUUAUAC